UAUAAGUGCAACCAUAAGUUUUCGCGCCCAACUUUGAUCGUUCGUCUUAUUUGAAAGUUUUUUAUAAUUAGUAUUUUUAUUGUUAUGAGAUGAUAAAAUAUAAAUAGUACUUUACUCGUGACUUAUGUUUUUAAAUUUUUUUAAAAAUUUUUCAAAUAAGAUGGAUGGUUAAAGUUGGGCGCGGAAAACCAUGGCUGUACUUAUA
Molecule: microRNA precursor, 205 nt
Filed under: Oryza rufipogon (brownbeard rice)
Lineage: Eukaryota; Viridiplantae; Streptophyta; Magnoliopsida; Poales; Poaceae
Description: MIR812 microRNA precursor family
Rfam family: MIR812 microRNA precursor family
Source: Rfam by way of RNAcentral